UUAACACAUGCAAGUCGAACGAAGUGGCAAACGGGUGAGUAACGCGUAAGCAACCUGCCCUUCAGAUGGGGACAACAGCUGGAAACGGCUGCUAAUACCGAAUACUGGAGGAGGGGCCUGCGUCUGAUUAGCUAGUUGGAGGGGUAACGGCCCACCAAGGCGACGAUCAGUAGCCGGUCUGAGAGGAUGAACGGCCACAUUGGGACUGAGACACGGCCCAGACUCCUACGGGAGGCAGCAGUGGGGAAUCUUCCGCAAUGGACGAAAGUCUGACGGAGCAACGCCGCGUGAACGAUGACGGCCUUCGGGUUGUAAAGUUCUGUUAAAUGGGACGCGGUACCGUAAGAGAAAGCCACGGCUAACUACGUGCCAGCAGCCGCGGUAAUACGUAGGUGGCAAGCGUUGUCCGGAAUAUUGGGCGUAAGGGCGCGCAGGCGGCAUCGCAAGUCGGUCUUAAAAGUGCGGGGCUUAACCCCGUGAGGGGACCGAAACUGUGAAGCUCGAGUGUC
Molecule: ribosomal RNA, 509 nt
Filed under: uncultured bacterium
Lineage: Bacteria
Description: bacterial SSU rRNA
Rfam family: Bacterial small subunit ribosomal RNA
Source: RNAcentral